CGGACGGGUGAGUAAUGUCUGGGAAACUGCCCGAUGGAGGGGGAUAACUACUGGAAACGGUAGCUAAUACCGCAUAACGUUGCAAGACCAAAGAGGGGGACCUUAGGGCCUCUUGCCAUCGGAUGUGCCCAGAUGGGAUUAGCUAGUAGGUGGGGUAAUGGCUCACCUAGGCGACGAUCCCUAGCUGGUCUGAGAGGAUGACCAGCCACACUGGAACUGAGACACGGUCCAG
RNAcentral lists this ribosomal RNA (232 nucleotides) under uncultured bacterium. Its description in RNAcentral is "partial 16S ribosomal RNA". It matches the Rfam family "Bacterial small subunit ribosomal RNA", at positions 99 to 334 of the family's 1533-position model. The record is from RNAcentral.